ACGGAAGGCAGCAGCUAAGAAUAUUCCGCAAUGGACGAAAGUCUGACGGAGCGACGCCGCGUGGAUGAUGAAGGUCGGAAGAUUGUAAAAUCCUUUUAUAACUGAGGAAUAAGUAUGGUGAGAGAAACGCCAUAUGGUGACUGUAGGUUAUGAAUAAGCAACGGCUAAUUACGUGCCAGCAGCCGCGGUAACACGUAAGUUGCGAGCGUUGUUCGGAAUUAUUGGGCGUAAAGGGCAUGUAGGCGGUUUUGCAAGCUUGGUGUGAAAUUCCGGAGCUCAACUCCGGAACUGCGUUGAGAACUGCAUAACUAGAGUCACUGAGGGGCAAUCAGAAUUCCUGGUGUAGGGGUGAAAUCUGUAGAUAUCAGGAAGAACACCGAUGGCGAAGGCAGGUUUCCAGCAGACGACUGACGCUGAGGUGCGAAGGUGCGGGGAGCAAACAGGAUUAGAUACCCUGGUA
RNAcentral lists this ribosomal RNA (460 nucleotides) under uncultured Treponema sp. Its description in RNAcentral is "bacterial SSU rRNA". It matches the Rfam family "Bacterial small subunit ribosomal RNA", at positions 341 to 792 of the family's 1533-position model. Lineage: Bacteria; Pseudomonadati; Spirochaetota; Spirochaetia; Treponematales; Treponemataceae. The record is from RNAcentral.